CCACUAAUCCAAUUGGCAUCUGGAAACAUCCGUUUCAACACUGCUCCAGCAGUUUUUUUACCAUUAACUGGAAGGGUGGCUGCAACAAAAAUGUACUGUUUACUGUGUAUGUAAUCUUUUCUCACUCUCCUCCAGUCUUUUCUGUUGAUGGACCCAGCUUCACUUUCCUCUUUUAAGUCCUCAACUUCAUUAUCACCUUCAAAGUCUUCAUCCUCUGCUAAGAUAGAUUCAUUUUGGGGUUCACCAUCUUCCAAGCCACACUCUCCUGGAGAAUCAGAACCUAAUUCUGCAGUAUUUUCAAGUUUACAUUUACUUACUUGAGACAACUGCUUCUCAUCAAAACGAAGCAUGUUUAUGAGACGGAUAACCUGAUUCUGGAAGCUCCCACAGAGAAGCAUGUCUGCUUCAUCGAACACCACAUAUUUCACACCACGAACAAAAUUCAAUUUUCGCUGUUUUUUUGGGUCAAUAUUAUUAAGAAGAGCAGCUGGUGUUGACACAAUAAUGUCUGGUUGAUUAACUGGCCAUCCCUGUCGGCCACAGACAGCCGUGACUUUGAGAAGUGGUUCACCAUUAUCAUCACAAAGACCACAAGCCAUUCGAACCACUUGUUCACACAACAACACAUUUGGACAAAGAACUAGAGAAAUUCUAUGGGAAGGCAUCAAUCCUUGAUCAGAAUCAUAAUCUUUGAGAUGAUCCGGUGGAUUACAUAACUUGUCAAUUAAGGGAACAAGGUAUGCAUGCGUUUUACCACUACCAGUCUCCGCUGCUACUACCACAUCCUUU
This 789-nucleotide unclassified non-coding RNA is filed under the name Hevea brasiliensis (rubber tree). Lineage: Eukaryota; Viridiplantae; Streptophyta; Magnoliopsida; Malpighiales; Euphorbiaceae. The record is from RNAcentral.